This 1455-nucleotide ribosomal RNA is filed under the name metagenome. RNAcentral describes it as "bacterial SSU rRNA". It matches the Rfam family "Bacterial small subunit ribosomal RNA". The record is from RNAcentral.
AGAGUUUGAUCCUGGCUCAGGACGAACGCUGGCGGCGUGCUUAACACAUGCAAGUCGAACGGUGACGAGGAGCUUGCUCCUCUGAUCAGUGGCGAACGGGUGAGUAACACGUGAGCAACCUGCCCCAGACUCUGGGAUAACAGUUGGAAACAGCUGCUAAUACCGGAUACGAGACGGAGAGGCAUCUCUACCGUCUGGAAAGUUUUUCGGUCUGGGAUGGACUCGCGGCCUAUCAGCUAGUUGGUGAGGUAAUGGCUCACCAAGGCGACGACGGGUAGCCGGCCUGAGAGGGCGACCGGCCACACUGGGACUGAGACACGGCCCAGACUCCUACGGGAGGCAGCAGUGGGGAAUAUUGCACAAUGGGCGAAAGCCUGAUGCAGCGACGCCGCGUGAGGGGUGACGGCCUUCGGGUUGUAAACCUCUUUCAGCAGGGAAGAAGCGAAAGUGACGGUACCUGCAGAAGAAGCACCGGCUAACUACGUGCCAGCAGCCGCGGUAAUACGUAGGGUGCGAGCGUUGUCCGGAAUUAUUGGGCGUAAAGAGCUUGUAGGCGGUUUGUCGCGUCUGCAGUGAAAAUCCGAGGCUCAACCUCGGACUUGCUGUGGGUACGGGCAGACUAGAGUAUGGUAGGGGAGACCGGAAUUCCUGGUGUAGCGGUGGAAUGCGCAGAUAUCAGGAGGAACACCGAUGGCGAAGGCAGGUCUCUGGGCCAUAACUGACGCUGAGAAGCGAAAGCAUGGGGAGCGAACAGGAUUAGAUACCCUGGUAGUCCAUGCCGUAAACGUUGGGCGCUAGGUGUGGGGCUCAUUCCACGAGCUCCGUGCCGCAGCUAACGCAUUAAGCGCCCCGCCUGGGGAGUACGGCCGCAAGGCUAAAACUCAAAGGAAUUGACGGGGGCCCGCACAAGCGGCGGAGCAUGCGGAUUAAUUCGAUGCAACGCGAAGAACCUUACCAAGGCUUGACAUAUACCGGAAACAUCCAGAGAUGGGUGCCCCGCAAGGUCGGUAUACAGGUGGUGCAUGGUUGUCGUCAGCUCUUGUCGUGAGAUGUUGGGUUAAGUCCCGCAACGAGCGCAACCCUCGUUCUAUGUUGCCAGCGCGUAAUGGCGGGGACUCAUAGGAGACUGCCGGGGUCAACUCGGAGGAAGGUGGGGAUGACGUCAAAUCAUCAUGCCCCUUAUGUCUUGGGCUUCACGCAUGCUACAAUGGCCGGUACAAAGGGCUGCGAUACCGCGAGGUGGAGCGAAUCCCAAAAACCGGUCUCAGUUCGGAUUGGGGUCUGCAACUCGACCCCAUGAAGUCGGAGUCGCUAGUAAUCGCAGAUCAGCAACGCUGCGGUGAAUACGUUCCCGGGCCUUGUACACACCGCCCGUCAAGUCACGAAAGUCGGUAACACCCGAAGCCGGUGGCCCAACCCUUGUGGAGGGAGCCGUCGAAGGUGGGACUGGCGAUU